Molecule: small RNA, 279 nt
Filed under: Cryptococcus neoformans H99
Lineage: Eukaryota; Fungi; Basidiomycota; Tremellomycetes; Tremellales; Cryptococcaceae
Description: Cryptococcus neoformans var. grubii H99 hypothetical RNA
Source: RNAcentral
CAGCUAGCAGCCAGUUAUCAGUUCUGUUUUCUAUCUUUGAUUUUUAUGUUUUUGAUUUUUUUUUGUUCUAAUUCACGCACGCUUAAUCGAAUCCUCAUUGAAAUCCGGACGGAUCCGAAGAAUUGAUUACCUUCAUUAAGUGGCUAUGCAGAGAACAGCGAAUCAGUUCAAUUAUAAGGACUACGAGUAUUUUAAAUCUGCAUGUUGUGGUCGGUGUCGAGAAGGCAGACAUAUCUUCGCUGAUACCCCUGGUGUACAUGAAUUGCACAUCGUAUCUCG